Non-coding RNA from Plectropomus leopardus (leopard coralgrouper), 407 nucleotides. NCBI's taxonomy places the organism in Eukaryota, Metazoa, Chordata, Actinopteri, Perciformes, Serranidae. The record is from RefSeq and is a predicted model, not a curated record.
GGAAAUCGUGGAAACAGCGUCAACAACUGACGAAAUCAAGGAAUCAAAGGGUUAAAUUCCUUCGAGCUGACAGGAGUUAAAGCCGUUGUUUGGAGAGUCGUCCUGCCCGUUCAGUGCCUCUGCUCUCCUGUUUACAAGUGGCUGAUUAUCGUCCACUGCCACAGGGUGAUAAUGUGGUGUCUGCACUUCUGCGCCGUCCACAGAUUAACCGUGCUUUUGUCGGGGGGUACAAAGGGAAAAAAAAGGCCCCUCCCCUGCUGCUGAGCCGGGGCUUUCAGCAUGGCCCCCUGCCAGGGGAGGCUUUAAAAGGGUGGGGGCGCGUGGCUCCUCUCACUCUCACGGCAGGACAAACCAAGGGCAUCAAAGCAAGACAAGAUGACUCACCACUGCACCAAGUUCUCCGGCCA